UCGAACGAGCAGAGGAGCUUGCUUUUCUUGAUAGUGGCGAACGGGUGAGUAACGCGUGAGUACCUGCCCUGGAGUGGGGGACAACAGUUGGAAACGACUGCUAAUACCGCAUAAGCCGGCAUCGGAAAAGAUUUAUCGCUUCAGGAUGGACUCGCGUCCAAUUAGCUGGUUGGUGAGGUAACGGCCCACCAAGGCGACGAUUGGUAGCCGGACUGAGAGGUUGAACGGCCACAUUGGGACUGAGACACGGCCCAGACUCCUACGGGAGGCAGCAGUGGGGGAUAUUGCACAAUGGGGGAAACCCUGAUGCAGCGACGCCGCGUGGAGGAAGAAGGUUUUCGGAUUGUAAACUCCUGUCGUUAGGGACGAUAAUGACGGUACCUAACAAGAAAGCACCGGCUAACUACGUGCCAGCAGCCGCGGUAAAACGUAGGGUGCAAGCGUUGUCCGGAAUUACUGGGUGUAAAGGGAGCGCAGGCGGACCGGCAAGUUGGAAGUGAAAACUAUGGGCUCAACCCAUAAAUUGCUUUCAAAACUGCUGGCCUUGAGUAGUGCAGAGGUAGGUGGAAUUCCCGGUGUAGCGGUGGAAUGCGUAGAUAUCGGGAGGAACACCAGUGGCGAAGGCGACCUACUGGGCACCAACUGACGCUGAGGCUCGAAAGCAUGGGUAGCAAACAGGAUUAGAUACCCUGGUAGUCCAUGCCGUANACGAUGAUUACUAGGUGUUGGAGGANUGACCUUCAGUGCCGCAGUUAACACAAUAAGUAAUCCAC
Molecule: ribosomal RNA, 773 nt
Filed under: uncultured bacterium
Lineage: Bacteria
Description: bacterial SSU rRNA
Rfam family: Bacterial small subunit ribosomal RNA
Source: RNAcentral